This 440-nucleotide ribosomal RNA is filed under the name uncultured bacterium. RNAcentral's name for it is "partial 16S ribosomal RNA". It matches the Rfam family "Bacterial small subunit ribosomal RNA", at positions 338 to 795 of the family's 1533-position model. The record is from RNAcentral.
CCUACGGGUGACAGCAGUGGGGGAUAUUGCACAAUGGGGGGAACCCUGAUGCAGCGACGCCGCGUGGGUGAAGAAGCGCCUCGGCGCGUAAAGCCCUGUCAGCAGAGAAGAUAAUGACGGUAUCUAACGAAUAAGCACCGGCUAACUCCGUGCCAGCAGCCGCGGUAAUACGGAGGGUGCACGCGUUACUCGGAAUCACUGGGCGUAAAGAGCGCGUAGGCGGGAUAGCAAGUCAGAUGUGAAAUCCUAUGGCUUAACCAUAGAACUGCAUUUGAAACUGUUAUUCUAGAGUAUGGGAGAGGUAGGUGGAAUUCGUGGUGUAGGGGUAAAAUCCGUAGAGAUCAAGAGGAAUACUCAUUGCGAAGGCGACCUGCUAGAACAUAACUGACGCUGAUGCGCGAAAGCGUGGGGAGCAAACAGGAUUAGAUACCCCGGUAGUC